UUGCUUUAACGAUAUACAUGGAGUCUUUUUUUGUUUGUUUGUUUGUUUGUUUUGUAACUCUAGUAGACCGACAGACAGGCUGAUUGAUGGAGAAACACAGAAAGAGAGAGAACAGGUGUAGAACAAAAAUAAAUGGGAACUGAGAAAGCUAACUGCAAACGCCUAUUCAAGUUAUCCGUCCUAGGGGACCUACGGAAAUGUGCUCGGUGGGGGGAAAUCAUGCCCAGACGAAUCCGAAGGAGUCUUGGAAAGCAGCCUACCUCGGAAGUGUAACAUGGGAGGUCGUAAGCCUGAGCCCUGGUAAGCUGUCUUCAUUCUCGUUGCAGUCUGGGCCGCAUCGACAGUCGUAGACAACAGUAACAGAAUCGACAGAAAAAUUACAAGCACUGCCCCUCCUUUUGCCUGGAUCAUCUGCCUCGUCAUAAGCUCUCGCUGUUCUUCUUGUAUCUCUCCAAAGAUGAAUAAAACUCGCUGCACUUCGUCCAAUUUGUUGGAAAUCUGACUGUAGG
RNAcentral lists this long non-coding RNA (509 nucleotides) under Spirodela polyrhiza (greater duckweed). Its description in RNAcentral is "long non-coding RNA (SPOL_LNC000492)". Lineage: Eukaryota; Viridiplantae; Streptophyta; Magnoliopsida; Alismatales; Araceae. The record is from RNAcentral.